GGUGCGGCAGUCAAAGUAAUGACGCUCGUUUUGCACACGGGAAGUGAAAUCGAAUUUUUCUCGCGCCA
This 68-nucleotide transfer RNA is filed under the name Anadara pilula. Its description in RNAcentral is "tRNA-Ala". Lineage: Eukaryota; Metazoa; Mollusca; Bivalvia; Arcoida; Arcidae. The record is from RNAcentral.